UACGGAGGAUCCAAGCGUUAUCCGGAUUUAUUGGGUUUAAAGGGUGCGUAGGUGGCCUGUUAAGUCAGGGGUGAAAGACGGUAGCUUAACUAUCGCAGUGCCCUUGAUACUGAUGGGCUUGAAUGAACUAGAGGUAGGCGGAAUGUGGCAAGUAGCGGUGAAAUGCAUAGAUAUGUCACAGAACACCAAUUGCGAAGGCAGCUUACUAUGGUUUUAUUGACACUGAGGCACGAAAGCGUGGGGAUCAAACAGG
Molecule: ribosomal RNA, 253 nt
Filed under: uncultured bacterium
Lineage: Bacteria
Description: partial 16S ribosomal RNA
Rfam family: Bacterial small subunit ribosomal RNA
Source: RNAcentral